AUGCUUGUUUUUAGAUUAGGAUAGAUUUUGAAAAUCAAUUAAGGUUAUAUUAACCCUAGCGUG
This 63-nucleotide transfer RNA is filed under the name Arion flagellus. RNAcentral describes it as "tRNA-Ser". The record is from RNAcentral. Lineage: Eukaryota; Metazoa; Mollusca; Gastropoda; Stylommatophora; Arionidae.